AUGAGCCUGCGCUAAUGAGGACUGUAAUAGAGCUGCGACUAUGAUAAAUUUGUUGAUUUAAAAGGGUCAUAUGAUGCUUUUUAAUGUUUUCCUUCUUGAUCAUUCGCAUUUUCAGAAUCUGACUCAUCCUCGAACUGAUACUCUAAUACAGAUGACAUUGUUAACCAUUUUUAGAAAUGUUUUAGAAGCCUUGGAAGCUGAAGCUCAUGAUUAUGAUAAGGGCUGUUACAUUACCAAGACGCUUGAGGUGUUUGGCCAGUCACAACGCACUGGGUCAACUGGCCAAUCAGAGCUCUCUGGCUUUUCGGAAGGAGGGGGCUUUGUAGAUAUCAGCGUGUUUCAGACAGACUGGGAAUAGAGGUGCUACAAUAAUGUACAAUGUGUUAAAAAUGUUUAUUUUUACUUUUUAAAGCAUGUUAACCUAUUCUAGUACACCCAAUAGUAGUAAAGCUAAUAGAAUUAAAUGUUUCAAGUCGGUAUGGAGUGGUGAGGGGGGAAAAAAAUGGCCUGUUGGAAAGAGCGACCCUUCACCCCUAUUUUCCUCAACAAACUAGUGGUAGAUGUUGCAACAAAUCCUCUGCAUCCCACCUCUACUGGGAAGAUGCUGGUCUUCCAGCCGUUCUGGGAUGCUUCAACUGCCAGGUUGGAAUAUUUGUUCUUUUUUCUCUCAUAAGCUUCUUCAACCCCAUCUUCCCAUGGUACUGUUAAUUCCACAACAUAUGCCUGCUUUGUUGUUGGAGACCACAGGACCAUGUCUGGCUGGAUUGUUGUAGCCACUGUUUCUGGGGGAAACACAAGCUUCUUAUCAAGGUCCUCUUCCAAUUUCCAAUCCCACGCUGACUGCAGGAUGCUUGUUGUACAAUGCUCUUGAUGUUGGCCAGCUGGUACGAGAUUUGUGAAUUUGACCUGUCCUGCCAAUGUUUGUAGGAGGUUGUUUAUGGUGAUUCGCUUCUGUUCCAGUAUUGAUGCCAGCUCUCUGAGUACUUGGUUAUGCUGCCAAGUAUAGUGCCCUUGGGUGAGACUUUUAGUACACCCUGAUAGAAGGAUGCAGGUACUUGACACAGGGAACAGGCAGGAUCUUCUCCAUACCACUUCACCAUACCAGAUUUUGGGGGGAGGGUAGCAGGUUGUAUGUGGCUCUGAUGACAAAACUCAGCCGCGCUCCCUCCAUCUGCCAGAUGUCACGCCAGCUGAGCUUUUUCUUCUCCAGGCCCUCCCAGUUGGUUCAUCUCCCCUGCUUAGCCAUUGAGAUGGCUUUGGCAUAUCACGCUCCCUCCUCCUGUCUCCUGACUUCUUCUACCACUAGCUGUCUCUUCUGCACUGAUGUUGCUUUGUGCCACAUAGGAGUUUUUGGGAUGAGUCCGAACCCUGAAUUGAAGCGCAGACUUUGCACUCUGAACAGCUUCUGAUGGAUUCCACUUCCUUCCCGCUACCACCCGGGGGGCCGUUGUUCGAAUGACUGCAUCCUCUGAUUCAGUUAGGGUCUUGACGAGCCUUGCUUUGGUGCAUUUGAACUCUUCCACGAGCCCUGUGAUUGGUAAUUCCAACUUGCCAUGCCCAUAAACUCCGACAGAACUUAAACAACGUGGAAUUCCAAGCCACUGCUUCAGCUAUAUGCUUAUCAGCCGUUCCAACUUUUCAACUUUGGUGCUGGGGAUCUCAUACACAAUAAACAAAAUAAUGAACUUUUAAAAUAGCAUUAUAUGACCCUUUAAUACUUUUCAAUUAAGUGGUAAAAAUAGCAUUGGUUUCCUUUUUGUAUGUAUGUAUGUUUGCAUGCCAGUGCCUUUUUAAGUGUCAUGAUGCAGUCAUGUUAAACUUAGUUCAGCUUUGCCAUACGUGUCAAGAGACCACUGUGUUUUUGUUGCGCUCCUUCUAGCUGUUUUUGAACUUAAGGACGUGUCCUGUGUGAAUGCCUGCUUGGACCACAAAAGCAAAUAUACAGGAGUUGGACAAUGAAACUGAAACACUGGCCAAUAUAGUGUUGGAGGUUUCACGCCUAUAUAUGCACCGCCUGGUGACCAAUCUUUACUGAUUUUACAGUCCAUCGGUAAGAGCAUAGUGUGAAGGUUGAAUUAGCAGAGCAAUAGCACAGCUGCACAUGAAAUAUUGCAAUCCACACAACAUAAAGGGAGACAUAUUAGCGUUCAAAAGAGAACAAGUUGUUGGUGCAUGUCUUACUGGCUUAUCUGUGACCAAGACAGCAAGUCUUUAUGGUGUUUUGAACUAGGGACUUCGGGGUGGUACUCGGUGUGUUUCAACCGCAGGAACCAGGGUCUAAAUUAAGUUCUGGGUAAAAAUUCCCCCCUCAGAAAGUCCCUGCUCGUGAGGUAGUACUUUUUUCAAGUUCAGGAACUUUCGAGGGUGGGACUUGGGUGCUGUACAUGCUGAUUGGUUGAGUUCAUGCAGCAUUUUAUUUCAACCACCAUUUUUAAAAGUCUGUUGCGGUGUGUGCAGUAAGAGUUGUUUGCUAUUUGAAUCAAAAUUGGAGUUUAAAAAUUAUGACCGAUUGACCCACAACGAGUUUCAGGCUUUAUUAAGCUUAUAUCAAGCGUACCACACGAGUCCUGAAAAGUGAAGCCAAAGUGUCUUGAUUGCCCCCAGGUGUCUGGAUGCAGUAUAGGUCAUAAACCCCAUCCUCUCCUUGUAAUUUAAUGGGACGUGAGACAAACUAAAUGGUCAAAUUACAUGUCAAAUAUUUUUUUUUCUUCCAAAGAUGGUUUCUGUCAUUUUAGGCAGUUUUUAUCACGCUGAUGUAAGUUAAAAUGUUUGUUCUUUAAAUAAGUUUGUUUUUAGUUAUUUGAUGCUAUAAAAAUGCAGGUUUUGACAUCAUGAUUGACAGCUGAGGUUGACAGCUUCUCUGAGCAAAGUCAUUGGCUUUAACAUUUCAAGAACUGUUUAUUUCACACCGACAAGUUGUUCUGCAGUAAAGUGCAUUAACCAGUUCUGCGGGAGUGUGGGCAGGACCUUAAUAUCGCAGCUCCACUUCGUGCUCACUACUGCGCAGACUCGAUGUCAGCGCCAUAUUGGCACACUGUCAGCUUCACUUACUACAAUGGAAGAGAGUGAAGGUGUGUUGUCACAGUCUAUGGCUUAUAUGUGGAGGAUGAAAUCCAGCAGGAACUGGAAAGUCGCGCGCAGUCCUACGUCACUGGAUUAAUCUUCACGGUACUUUAGACCGCAAUGGAAACGCAGACAGUAACAGGUCUGGGGGGAAAAAGUUCCAGGGACAAUUUGUUCCGAGCGAUUUCGGUGGAAACAAGGCUAUAGUGACCCGGCCACUAUUCUGGAAGAGGAAUGGCUCAGAGUCCAUAUGGCCACUGUGAAGGACUUAUGUCUGUCAUUCCCAAGAUGAACUGAUGUUGUUUGGCCGCAAAAAGAGGCCCUACACCAUACUAAUAAACACCUAAAACCAGGUGUUUCAGUUUCAUUGUCCAACCCCUGUAGAUACACAAUAUGGUACACCAUAUUUUAUGGGGGGAAAAAAGUUGCACCUGAAUGUAAGUGAUACUGGGUCAGAUUUGCUUUUCUGAGAGAGAGGGGAAAAAAAAAAAAAAAACUAGUCACAUUGUAUUAUUACACUCUUAAAUAAUGUAAAAUACUGGUAAUUAAAAUGAAACAUUUACAAACAUUAUAAACACCAUAAACAUGUGUUUUAGUUUCCCUCACUCCACAAAAAAAAUCUUCAAAUUUGAUGGUAUUCAUAAUAAGAAUUAAAAAUAUUAGUAUGAAAAAUAAAUAGUUGACAUUCAUUAUUUAAAAAAACAAAAAACAAACACUGUCUAAACUAAUUUAAAACUAAACAGCUGGCAUGUGGAAAACUUGCACAAACUAUGUUAAUGUUAAAUGUGAGGGGAGAUAAAAAUUGAAACUCACUCUUUACCUUCAUUACCAAAUUAAAAAAAAAAAACCCCCCAAAAAAACAAAGAUGAUUAAUGAUUUCUGUAUUUGAGAUUAUUGUAGGGUGAGCAGCAUGCAAAACAAUACAAAGCCAGCAUAUAGCUUAAUUCAGAUUUAUGAUCUCACGUACCUCUCAUUCUGCAUGAAUCCAAGUGUUUCCAUGUUCUCUACCAUUAUUACUAAAACUUUAUUCUUUGUACUUCACUCACAAAAAAGCAACUUUCACAUGCGCAAAAAUGUUUGGCGUACCUUAACUUUGGAAUAUAAGUCACAACAUGUUUCAGAUGAUAAAAACACAAAACUUGUAUUCCAGAAAAUACAAUACUUUUAAUGCAGACAUGUAGCUUUAACUUAACAACUAUUCUGAGUUUAAUGUUGUAAAAGGAAUUUGCUUUAUUUAAAUGUUAAGUGAUUUACUUUGCAUUCAUUAAAAUAAACAUCAUUAACUUAAAAUAUAAAAAAACUUAUUUUAUUUCAGCUAGUGCUAAAAUAACUAAAACUAAAUCUUAAUUAAAAAAAAAAUACAGACAUAUUUAUUUUAAAAAGCUAAUAAAAUGACAAACAACAAAAUUACUAAAAUGUUAACUAGAAUUAAUAUAUAAAUAUAUAAAAAUAAAUUAACGAAAGUUAUAAUGGUGUUUCACAAAAUCUAUUACCAGUGUUCUUGUGGUUUGAAUGAUCUCAUGUAUAAUUGUUUAAACUUUUUUUUUUUUUUGUUAAACGUGUUAAAAUCAAACGUUAAACAUCAAAUGUUAAUUUUUUUUUUUUUUUUUUUUUUUUUUUUUUUUGGAUUAC
This is a long non-coding RNA of Ctenopharyngodon idella (grass carp), 4695 nucleotides long. RefSeq lists it as uncharacterized. The transcript is spliced from 2 exons. The record is from RefSeq and is a predicted model, not a curated record. NCBI's taxonomy places the organism in Eukaryota, Metazoa, Chordata, Actinopteri, Cypriniformes, Xenocyprididae.